This 248-nucleotide long non-coding RNA is filed under the name Lathyrus oleraceus (garden pea). Its description in RNAcentral is "Pisum sativum (pea) long non-coding RNA (PSAT_LNC026966)". Lineage: Eukaryota; Viridiplantae; Streptophyta; Magnoliopsida; Fabales; Fabaceae. The record is from RNAcentral.
UUUUACUUCGCACUGUUUCUUGAUGCCUGUUAAUUUUCUCAAAAUUGAGUUGAAUCAUCUUUAUAAACUGGGUCAAGGUUUCUUCAAGUUGAGAUGAUGAAUCCUCCUCCCAUGAAUGCUCAGUGUUGAUAUAAGGUUCUGGAUCUGAAUAAUUUCUCGCAUUUUUUUGAAGUAGAGUUUUUGCUGCAAGUUCUUUUGAAUAAGCUUCAAAAUUUGCCAAGCUAACAUAGAUUCAUCUUGCAUGUUUG